This 422-nucleotide ribosomal RNA is filed under the name uncultured prokaryote. RNAcentral's name for it is "bacterial SSU rRNA". It matches the Rfam family "Bacterial small subunit ribosomal RNA", at positions 355 to 774 of the family's 1533-position model. The record is from RNAcentral.
UAAGGAAUAUUGGUCAAUGGACGGAAGUCUGAACCAGCCAUGCCGCGUGCAGGAAGACGGCCCUAUGGGUUGUAAACUGCUUUUGUACGGGAAGAAUGGCCACUACGUGUAGAGGUUUGACGGUACCGUAAGAAUAAGGAUCGGCUAACUCUGUGCCAGCAGCCGCGGUAAUACGGAGGAUCCGAGCGUUAUCCGGAUUUAUUGGGUUGAAAGGGUGCGCAGGCGGGUAUAUAAGUCAGAGGUGAAAAACCACGGCUCAACUGUGGUCCUGCCUUUGAUACUGUAUGUCUAGAGUAUAGUUGGAGUGGGCGGAAUGUAGCAUGUAGCGGUGAAAUGCUUAGAUAUGCUACAGAACACCGAUCGUGAAGACAGCUCACUAAGCUAUAACUGACGCUCAGGCACGAAAGCAUGGGGAGCAAACA